UUUCAGUUUGCAUGGUCAUUUUGACAAUCCUGCUCUUCUAUGGAAAGUGUUCUUCAUCCAGGACAAUACUGUUGUUCAGAGGUGUUAAAGAAGAAAAUCACUGAAUUUAAGAUUGGUCACACUGAGAGUCACAAGGGGAGCAUCUGUGAGAGCAGCCCACCUAGAACUUCUCCACAUUGCUGCAUAUGGUAGAAUCGUUCUGCCCAUGGAGGCCCAGCAUUAGACUACAGGACUAAUCUAGAGGUGUCCUUCAAAGGAGACACCCAAUCUGCUCAUGCUCACUGCACACCUUCUGCCCGUCAUCUCUGGAGCACCUUGACUCAGAGGACACCCAUUGCCAACCCUUCACCUCCUCAUCUCCUGCAUACGCCACACAUUUUCUGGGAGCUGGGACCCCACAGAAGUUGCCUGAGAUCCUGGGGGUGCUGAGGGGUGUGUGCCUAGUUCUCUAGACCCACUGACUGCAGCUGUGCACAGGUGACUGGCACUCCCCCAGGCCCUGCCCUCUGCAGCAGCCUGUGCUCCACCCUCCCUCCUGGGGACUCACAGUCAGGACUUCUGCUUCCUGUGGACGUAGAUGGCAGAGACACCAACUGCCAGUAGGAUCUUGAGGCCAAGGAACAGGCCUAUGAGGUAUGAAACAAGUGUAGACUUCACUGCUCCUGAAAAUCAAGGGACAGAAGGGACUAUUAGAGGGACUCCUAGCCAUUCGUUCCCAGGAGCCUGCACCUGCCGAGGCCCACCUGGGCCCAACAAUGUUGUGAAGCUUUAGCACACACCCUGUCCUGGCUGCCCUGGUCAUCCUGAGGCAGACUCCUCCUGGGUCAAGAAUUUCCUUAUUUCCACUCAGAUCCCAGGGUGUCCUUGGUGAGAGAAAGUAAAAUGUGUGUUUCAAGCACAUUUCCCACCCA
This is a non-coding RNA of Ictidomys tridecemlineatus (thirteen-lined ground squirrel), 911 nucleotides long. The record is from RefSeq and is a predicted model, not a curated record. Lineage: Eukaryota; Metazoa; Chordata; Mammalia; Rodentia; Sciuridae.